Molecule: ribosomal RNA, 402 nt
Filed under: uncultured bacterium
Lineage: Bacteria
Description: bacterial SSU rRNA
Rfam family: Bacterial small subunit ribosomal RNA
Source: RNAcentral
UAGGGAAUCUUGGACAAUGGGCGAAAGCCUGCUCCAGCCAUGCCGCGUGAGUGAUGAAGGCCUUAGGGUUGUAAAGCUCUUUCGCCAGGGAAGAUAAUGACGGUACCUGGAUAAGAAGCCCCGGCUAACUUCGUGCCAGCAGCCGCGGUAAUACGAAGGGGGCUAGCGUUGUUCGGAAUUACUGGGCGUAAAGCGCACGUAGGCGGCUUUCCAAGUUGGAGGUGAAAUCCCCGGGCUUAACCCGGGAACUGCCUCCAAAACUGAAAGGCUAGAGUCCGAGAGAGGUGAGUGGAAUUUCCAGUGUAGAGGUGAAAUUCGUAGAUAUUGGAAAGAACACCAGUGGCGAAGGCGGCUCACUGGCUCGGUACUGACGCUGAGGUGCGACAGCGUGGGGAGCAAACA